This is a small nuclear RNA of Carya illinoinensis, 158 nucleotides long. RefSeq annotates it as U4 spliceosomal RNA. The transcript has a single exon. The record is from RefSeq and is a predicted model, not a curated record. NCBI's taxonomy places the organism in Eukaryota, Viridiplantae, Streptophyta, Magnoliopsida, Fagales, Juglandaceae.
AUCUUUGCACUUGGGGCAAUGACUCAGGUAGUGAGGUUCUAACUGAGGCAUGUCUAUUGCUGGUUGAAACUUGAAAACUAUUUCCCAACCCCCUCUUCGGCCUGGGUUCAAGCUCAGGCCGUCAAGAAUUUCUGGAAGGGUUUCCUUUGGGUAAAACC